RNAcentral lists this ribosomal RNA (430 nucleotides) under Klebsiella pneumoniae. RNAcentral's name for it is "bacterial SSU rRNA". It matches the Rfam family "Bacterial small subunit ribosomal RNA", at positions 780 to 1212 of the family's 1533-position model. The record is from RNAcentral. Lineage: Bacteria; Pseudomonadati; Pseudomonadota; Gammaproteobacteria; Enterobacterales; Enterobacteriaceae.
AGAUACCCUGGUAGUCCACGCCGUAAACGAUGUCGAUUUGGAGGUUGUGCCCUUGAGGCGUGGCUUCCGGAGCUAACGCGUUAAAUCGACCGCCUGGGGAGUACGGCCGCAAGGUUAAAACUCAAAUGAAUUGACGGGGGCCCGCACAAGCGGUGGAGCAUGUGGUUUAAUUCGAUGCAACGCGAAGAACCUUACCUGGUCUUGACAUCCACAGAACUUUCCAGAGAUGGAUUGGUGCCUUCGGGAACUGUGAGACAGGUGCUGCAUGGCUGUCGUCAGCUCGUGUUGUGAAAUGUUGGGUUAAGUCCCGCAACGAGCGCAACCCUUAUCCUUGUUGCCAGCGGUUAGGCCGGGAACUCAAAGGAGACUGCCAGUGAUAAACUGGAGGAAGGUGGGGAUGACGUCAAGUCAUCAUGCCCUUACGACCAGG